RNAcentral lists this ribosomal RNA (498 nucleotides) under uncultured bacterium. RNAcentral's name for it is "partial 16S ribosomal RNA". It matches the Rfam family "Bacterial small subunit ribosomal RNA", at positions 28 to 507 of the family's 1533-position model. The record is from RNAcentral.
GGCGAACGCUGGCGGCGUGCCUAAUACAUGCAAGUCGAGCGGACGAAUCGAAAGCUUGCUUUUGAUUCGUUAGCGGCGGACGGGUGAGUAACACGUGGGCAACCUGCCCUGUAGACGGGGAUAACACCGAGAAAUCGGUGCUAAUACCGGAUAACACGAAAUGUCGCAUGACGUUUCGUUGAAAGACGGCGCAAGCUGCCGCUACAGGAUGGGCCCGCGGCGCAUUAGCUAGUUGGUGAGGUAACGGCUCACCAAGGCGACGAUACGUAGCCGACCUGAGAGGGUGAUCGGCCACACUGGGACUGAGACACGGCCCAGACUCCUACGGGAGGCAGCAGUAGGGAAUCUUCCGCAAUGGACGAAAGUCUGACGGAGCAACGCCGCGUGAGCGAAGAAGGCCUUCGGGUCGUAAAGCUCUGUUGUUAGGGAAGAACAAGUAACGCAGUAACUGGCGUUACCGUGACGGUACCUAACGAGAAAGCCACGGCUAACUACGUG